AGAGUUGAUCCUGGCUUAGGAUGAACGCUAGCGAUAGGCCUAACACAUGCAAGUCGAGGGGCAUCACAUGAAGCAGCAAUGCGGAUGGUGGCGACCGGCGCACGGGUGAGUAACGCGUAUGCAAUCUACCUACAACAGGGGAAUAACCCGUUGAAAGACGGACUAAUGCCCCAUAAUACAGGGGUCCCGCAUGGGAAUAUUUGUUAAAGAUUUAUCGGUUGUAGAUGAGCAUGCGUUCCAUUAGCUGGUUGGUGAGGUAACGGCCCACCAAGGCAACGAUGAUAGGGGAACUGAGAGGUUUAUCCCCCACACUGGUACUGAGACACGGACCAGACUCCUACGGGAGGCAGCAGUGAGGAAUAUUGGUCAAUGGACGCAAGUCUGAACCAGACCCACGUCGCGUGAAGGAAGACCGGCCCGUACGGGUUAGUAAACUUUCUUUGUAAGGGAAUAAAGUGUAGUACGCGUACUUAUUUGCAUGUACCUUACGAAUAAGGAUCGGCUAACUCCGUGCCAGCAGCUGC
Molecule: ribosomal RNA, 524 nt
Filed under: uncultured bacterium
Lineage: Bacteria
Description: bacterial SSU rRNA
Rfam family: Bacterial small subunit ribosomal RNA
Source: RNAcentral